This 68-nucleotide transfer RNA is filed under the name Marmota monax (woodchuck). RNAcentral's name for it is "tRNA.Ala". The record is from RNAcentral. Lineage: Eukaryota; Metazoa; Chordata; Mammalia; Rodentia; Sciuridae.
GGAUGUGGCUCAAGUGGUAGCGUGCUCGCCUGGCAUGCGUGCGGGCCCGGGUUCGAUCCUCAGCACCA